ACAGGCUCCAGACGCGCAGCCUCAGUAGUUGUGGCUCACGGGCCUAGUUGCUCUGCGGCAUGCGGGAUCUUCCCAGACCAGGGCUCGAACCUGUGUCCCCUGCAUUGACAGGCAGAUUCUCAACCACUGCACCACCAGGAAAGCCCCAAAUCAGAUUUUUUUAAGUUAUAUUUCAUUAAAAGGUAUAUGCCCUAAAUGUGACUUGUUCUUUGUCCACUCAGCAAAUAUCUGCUGUGCUCCUACUAUGUGUCCGGCUCUGUACUAGCUUUAGGGAUUAGCUUUGGAUGGUUGUU
Molecule: non-coding RNA, 293 nt
Organism: Kogia breviceps (pygmy sperm whale)
Lineage: Eukaryota; Metazoa; Chordata; Mammalia; Artiodactyla; Physeteridae
Source: RefSeq, a predicted model, not a curated record